Molecule: transfer RNA, 98 nt
Filed under: Flavimobilis marinus
Lineage: Bacteria; Bacillati; Actinomycetota; Actinomycetes; Micrococcales; Jonesiaceae
Description: tRNA-Ala
Source: RNAcentral
CGUCCUAUGGUGCGCUCGGCGACGGCCUGAUCCCCGCCCGCACCCGGGACGGCGGUGUCGUCUACGUCGACACGUCGUUCGUGCCAGCGCUGGGCGGC